UGGCUUUGUCGUUGGGCCAUUUCUCGAUAUGGGCCUUAAUUCGAGUCAAGUCCGUUCUCGUUCUUGGAAUAUUUUAGAUUGGGCUUUUUCCGAAGCCCGUUUGGAUGGGAGCAGAUCCAUCCCCUAACAGUCUAACACUAACAGCAAUCUAGAUUUAAAAAGAAAGAAAGAAACAGAGUUAUAAAUCCGUAGUUAACAUCCUAAUUCAUUCAAUUCCUAAACCCUUCAAAACCACUAAACUCAGUUGAAGAACUACUCACACAUAAUAAACAUCAAAGCAUUAGAAGAAACCAUGGAAAACAUUAUUACAUUGACAAAGGUAGAUAAGAGGUUCGAAGAUUUCUCCAAAGUGCUGUAAUUUUGUGAGAUCUCCUCCCUAAAGUUCUUAGUUGCAAAACUAGGUUUUGAACUCAAUAAAAUAAAAGUUAGCCUAACUAUAUAGAAGAAACAGAGGUUUUGAAAAAAGAAAUUGCAUUUGGGACAACCCGGAUAACUUAGUCAAAUUGAGGCAGUACCUGUUUUGGCCAAAGGAUGGCAUGCCAAUACCCUUGUCGUGUGGUACUCUUUGUUUUGCAUAAUACAAGUGGUGCAGGUCUGGUACUCGUCACAUCAAGAGGCAAGCCAACCGGCAUCCUUUCCUACUACGAGUAGUCUGAUGCUCCAAGCCUCCAAAGUCCAUAUCUUCAAAGUUUUUCCAUGUUGGCUCUUUUUUUUGCUCCAAACUCCAUCGCAAGUCUACCAUGAACUCCAAAUCCCGGGAUCUAGAUAAACAUUCAUAAUAAACCAAGUGUGCAGUCUCACCGAGUUAAUAUCGAUUAUGAAACAACCUAAACUAAAUGAAGAAGUGGUUAUAAAGUAUUUCGGACUUCCAGAAGUUUAGAAGUAUGCAAAAUAUUAUGUGAAACCGCAAGAGAAACUAUAUCAACUAGUAAAUUACACAGCUUGCUGAUCCACUGAACUAAUAUAAUCACCAAAACAGUAAAUUCCUUUCAAAGAUUAUGCUUCAUUGAGCUCUUUUGCAUAAGCAUGCACAUAAUGAUAAUAAGGAGAAUACAUGUGGUUAGAAAAAAGAAAAAGAAAAAAAAAAAGGUUGGAAAAUGGAAGUGAUACCAAAAAAAAGUUUAUUGUGGCCAGUGUGAGAAGACUAUAUAUAUAACCUCAAAUACAUUGAUGUCAACAAAAAAAACUGUAUAUGCCUCAAAAUACGUUUAUAAAUGAACUAGUAAAGAUAGAAAAAGAAUGACAGAUACAUCUCCACAUGUCUUUGUGUUUGGACAGUGUCAAUUGUUUACAUGGACGAGUUUUUAAAGAGCAAUAUAAGUCUGGGAAGGUUCUCAAGAGCCACUGUGAAGAGGCCACCAAGAAUAAACAUCAAAACAAAUGCAAAAAAUAUUCUUCCAAUGUAUUUUAGACUCUGAUCUCCAAUUUCUGGUCUUGAAUCCUUUGUGUACUUUGAAUCUUUGGAAUCCUGCAAAAGCAAACCGCAAAACGCUGAAGCAUUUUUCUACAAUCCGAUUUGUAAAGAAUGGCCACAGGGUACAAACAUAACAAAAGCAAAAGGAUAUGAAACCAACACAGGAUCUCAAGCAAGAAAACGAGCUGAGAAACGUUAUGUGAUAAUUAAAAGAUUCUUAGUGAAAGAAGAAGCGUAUUGUCAAUUUACUAUCUUUUUUUUUUUUUUUUGUUCAAAGUCAAUUUACUAUCAAUCUAUGAUUCUAGCUCUCUUCACUCUACUUGAGCUUUGGCAUUGAAUAAUAUUCCCAGUAGAAGUUGGAAACAAAGGGUAAUCACGACGGCAUAAAGUAUAAAGAAAUUCCUAACACCAUCUUGCUAUGAAGUUACUAACAAAGUCAAGCUAAUUACCAUUGAUAUUACAGAAGGAAAGUGCUGUUGUAGAUUGUUUUUCUCAGUUCCUGCAUAAAAAAAAAGAAAAGGUUAGAAACAACAUAUUAACACAAGGUAAAGAAGUCCAGAUUGCAGUUUGAAAAAUUCUAUCACAUCGUAACCAUUCCCAUUGGUUUCGAUGCAUCACAAAAUGUAUACCACGAACAUCAGCAUUUGAAUCACCACAGUUAUAUUUCAUCCAAAACCAAGAGCAAAAUGCUUUUUGAAAUUUGCUCUUCCAUACAUAUAACAAGAAAAAGAAUUGUCACUAUGACUAUGAGUAGAGGUGUCACUAUGACUAUGAGCACCAUUUACAAAUCCAUAAGAUUAUUUGUAACUCCAUCACUAAACUAAACUUCAUAUGCACCAAUCACGAUUCUGUAACAAGACUUGUAAUCUAAAUCAUGAAAUUUGACAAGAACUAAAAUUACCAGGAAAAUCAGAAUCAACCACUGUCUUCAACUUCCAACCAUGUCCGUAAUUGACAAGACAAGCAUCAUCACCAAAACUGAUAGGUUCUUCACCAUCCUUUACUGCUUCAAUGAACACUACUCUAGGUUUUAACGAACCAAGUUUCUUGUUAAUCACAGAGACAGCAAAUUUCGCCUUUGUACCACUUGUGAAUCGGUAUUCCUUACCAGAAACUUCACAAAAAACUUCCAGAAACUAGGAUUCCACAAAUUCAACAAUGAGUUUAGCUAACACCACCGUUGAAAUCCUAAAAGAUUAAAGAGUUAAAGGAAACUUACGAGCGGUGGUUGAGAAGGAGAAGCUUCCAGUGAGCUAUUGUUCGCCAUCGGGCAGAGAGAAGGAAGAAUUACGAGAGAACAAUCUCGAAACCCUAAAUUAUGUUCAAUUCCCAGGAAGAUCCGGCGAUUCACUUGUAGAAGAGAUUGCGAGAGAGGUCAAAGCGUCGACGAUCUGGUAAGAGAGAAGAAAGAUUUGGAAUCUGGAAGAUGAUGAUGAGUCAACUUAGAUCCUUAAACCGAUCUAAACCGGUUUGGUGAAGCAUAUAACACGCAAUCGAAUUUAAACCGGAACUAGUUGACCCCAAAAAAAAAACUAAUUUCAUUUUAAACUUACUAUUAGGCCUGGGCAUUCGGAUUUCAAAUCGGAUUCGGAUCGGAUAUAUUCGGAUUCGGAUAAUUUGGGUAUGAGAGUUUAUUAUCCGUUCGGAUUUUAUGAUUUUUCGGUUCGGUUUCGGUUCGGAUAUAUUCGGAUUCGGAUAAUUUGGGUAGGAGAAUUUAUUAUCCGUUCGGAUUUUAUGAGUCAUCGGUUCGGUUUCGGUUCGGAUAGGUGUCGGAUUCGGAUCGGUUUUCGGGAAAAAAAACUUAAAAAUAGUUCAAUCUUAAUAAAAAUUGGUUUAAUCUUACUAAAAUUUGGUUAAAUUUUGCAAAAAUAUGUAUAAUUUUAACAAAUAUAACUAAAUUUUUUCCCAAAUCUAGGAUAUUUAGGAUAUUUUUGUUAUUUGCUAUAAAAUUACAACUAAAUAUAACUAAUAUUUUUGGAUAUAUAAUUUUUAUUUCCGGUUUUCGGAUAUCCUUUCGGUUUUCGGUUCGGAUCGGGUUCGGUUCGGGUAAUUCGGAUAGGAGAAUUCAUUAUCCGUUCGGAUUUUGUGACUAUUCGGUUUGGGUUCGGUUCCAGAUUUUUCGGAUCGGUUUCGAAUCGGUUUUCGGAUUUCGGGUUUUAUGUCCAGGCCUACUUACUAUAUUAAAAUUUUCUGGGAAAUAAUUUAUGUAUUUGAUUUUCUACACCUAAGAUCAUUUAAUAUGAGAGCAGGGGAUCAUUUAAUAUUUACCAUUAUCAUUAGGGUUACUGUUGUAAGCUUAAUUAAAGUUGCAAAUGUUGUGGGAUUUGGGUUUCGACCCACCACUUGUAAACCCAAGUUUGGGUUUUCCUUUUAAUGGAAAAAUAGUUGGCCGACAAAAAAAUAAAGAUAGUUUAAUAUUUUUUUUAAUGGGAAAAAUGUCAUUUAAAUCGUCACUUUGCCAUUUGUGGAGGUUUAAAGUAUGAACUUUGAGCAUGGUGCUUUUAAUCCUCAAUUUCUAGUUGACUUUCAAUUUAAUCUCUAACUUUCGUUGACGAAGCCGAUUGAGGCACGUCUUUAACUGGACAAACGGAGGAUUAAGACGCUGUUAUCUGUCCGUCUAAUAUAUCCGUUAAUAAGCGAAACGACGUCGUUUAAUCAAAUGAAAACUCCCAAAUUCGAUUAAGCUCGAACCCUAGAAUACCAAAUCGAAAUUAGAAAUACAAAAUCGAAGAUUCUCUCUCGUUUUCUUCUCUAAUCUCGAUUUCUUCUCAAAUCUCGAUCUCAUCUUUAUUCCUCAAGAUCUGUUAUCUCGAUUCCGAUGAGUUCUAGCUCUGAGACAUCAAUAGUACUCGCUGCCCGUGGAGUGCCUUCAAAGUGUGUGUGUGGGUUAGGUGUAAGGAUCUUUACAUCGAAAACUCAACACAUCUAUCUGNNNNNNNNNNNNNNNNNNNNNNNNNNNNNNNNNNNNNNNNNNNNNNNNNNNNNNNNNNNNNNNNNNNNNNNNNNNNNNNNNNNNNNNNNNNNNNNNNNNNNNNNNNNNNNNNNNNNNNNNNNNNNNNNNNNNNNNNNNNNNNNNNNNNNNNNNNNNNNNNNNNNNNNNNNNNNNNNNNNNNNNNNNNNNNNNNNNNNNNNNNNNNNNNNNNNNNNNNNNNNNNNNNNNNNNNNNNNNNNNNNNNNNNNNNNNNNNNNNNNNNNNNNNNNNNNNNNNNNNNNNNNNNNNNNNNNNNNNNNNNNNNNNNNNNNNNNNNNUUUCGAUUUGGUAUUCUAGGGGUCCGAGCUCAAUCGCAUUUGGGGGUUUUCAUUUUGAUUAAACGACAUCGUUUAGCUUAUUAACGGAUAUAUUAGACGGACAGAUAACAACGUCUUAAUCCUCCGUUUGUCCAGUUAAAGACGUGCCUCAAUCGGCAUCGUCAACGAAAGUUAGAGAUUAAAUUGAAAGUCAACUAGAAAUUGAGGAUUAAAAGCACCAGACUCAAAGUUCAUGCUUUAAACCUCCACAAAUGGCAAAGUGACGAUUUAAAUGACAUUUUUCCCUUUUUUUAAUCCCUUAAUGCUUAAUUUUUAUAAUUUCUUACACUUGCUUUCAUUACUUAGGCUGUAAAUGGUAACAUGGGUUUUGAGGAAUUCUUGAGGAAUUUUUGAGGAAUUAAAAUUGGUUACAUCAUUUGCAUGUUGAGGAAUACAUGAGGAAUUUGUGAGGAAUUGUUGAUAUUUCAAAAUUUUAUAUUUGUUUUAAGUUGUUAAAUAAAUUAAUCAAUUUAACUAUUAUUAAAACUAAAUGAUAAUUAAAUUAUAAUAUUUAAUUUAAUAAUAGAAGACUUCUACUAAAAGUUAUUAGUAAGGAAAAUUAUAAACUAGAAAAAUAAAAUAGUUUAAUUUUUAUUGAAAAAGUAACAAUUACUAGUUUAUUUUAUUAUUUUAUGCUUUUAUAUGAUAUUUACAUUUGAUAAAAAGAUUAAAUGUAUCACAUUCCUAAUAUUUUACAAAUUUGAACUUUUUUCAAAUUAACUUAUUAUCUCAUGUUUAAUAAAAUUAUUAAAUUAUAUAAAAUUUCAAGUUUAAUAUUUUCAUUUGUUUUUUAUUUGCUCUUGUUGACAAAAUAAAAAAUUGGAAUCUAUAUUUUCAUAUUUUUGUUAACUAAUUAAUUAAUUUUGAAAAAUUCAGCCAGAUUCAGCCGUUACCAUUUGAACUCGAAGAUAUUCAGCCAGAUUCCGCAAAAAAUCAUCAUUAAAUUCAGCCAGAUUCAGCAAUUCAGCUAAAUUCAGCUGGAUUCCACGGUUACCAUUUACACCCUUAGUUGUUUGUUUGUCUUGCUUAAUUUUACUUGUUAGUUAAUAAUCCUUAAAAAAUCCAAAAAACAACAAAACUCUUAAGAGUUUGAAUGGAUGUUGCGGGCGGAGCAUACUAAACCAUUAGUGACUAGACCAUUUUAUUUUUAAGACGGACAACAAUCUGUCGUGAUCAUCAAGUUUAUUUAUAUGUAAAAGCGGUAUGUAGUUGGUAUAUCGUGAUCAUCAAACAGAUUUGUCCAAACUCGAUAGGUAAAAAUAUCAUGAUGGAUUCAUUGUAUAUAUAUUUGGGGUCUUCAAACUGAAAACCGAAUGGGGCCAAACUACUAACAUAACAUUUUACCAGUGAACUUGUAAAUUAUUAUUUUUCAAGUUAAACUCCAUCAUAUCAAUAAUAUUAUCUAGAGUAAACUAACACAUUAUUGAUUAUUCUUUGCAGGGCCGGCCCAUGGGUAAAGCCCAUGAAGCAAGGGCUUUAGGCAUCAAAUAAUUAUAAGUAGUUUUAAGGGCAUCAAUUUUUAAAAUGUUACUGUGGUCUAGUAGUUAGAUUGAAGUCUUUUGUUGUACAGGUCAUGGUUUCGAAUCCCAUACAUGUUGAAACUUGUAUUUUUUUUUUAACAGCUUUUGUUAAUGGGCCAAAAAAAAUUUUGCUUUAGACACUCAAAUAGUUUGGGCCGACCCUGAUUCUUUGAAACAUUGACGAAAACUAAGAUUUAGUCCACAAUAAUUAACUGCAGAACUAACCUUCAACAAAAGAAUCAACUGAAAAUUCUUAUUCCUUGAAAAUUCAAUGGUCAAAAGUUUUCAUUUCUAAGACCAACCCAGCUUGCAAAUUAGACCUAAUAAAACCUUCCUCAUUCUCUCUUUUCCCCUAAUUUUGACCAACAAAUAUUGACUUAGAAAAAAAAAACCAUUACAUAUAAAUAAAAUCUCAUCCCAACCAACAAUCUUUAAACCCACGACGUAAACAAAAAAAGAAACCUUUAUUUUUGUUAGACAAGAGAUGGGUUUUUUAUGGAGAACGAGACUACGUGGAGCUAACGAGAAGAAGAUAACUCCGGUAAUAAGCUGGCCGGAAUCAGAACCGGAGUCAGAGAUAACAAUUCCACCGGAAUUUCAAUGUCCGAUCUCAAUCGAUCUAAUGAAAGAUCCGGUAAUAAUCUCAACAGGCAUUACUUACGACCGCGAAAGCAUCGAAACAUGGAUCAGUUCCGGCAACAAAACAUGUCCAGUCACGAACACUGUCUUAACCACGUUCGAUCAAAUCCCGAACCACACGAUACGUAAGAUGAUUCAAGGAUGGUGCGUGGAGAAAGGAUCACCGUUGAUUCAACGUAUCCCAACGCCACGUGUCCCUUUAAUGCCAUGUGAGGUCUACGAGAUUAGAAGAAAAUUAUCCUCUGCGACGCGGCGUGGGGAUUUCGAGAAGUGUGGGGAGAUUAUUGCGAAGAUUAAGAAAUUAGGGGACGAGAGUGAGAAAAAUCGGAAGUGUGUUAACGAAAACGGCGUCGGAUUGGUUCUUUGUGAUUGUUUCGAGAAGUUCUCGGGAGAUGAGAAAUUAACGAUUAUGUUGAAGGAGAUUUUGUCUCUGCUGAUGUGGAUGAUUCCGAUUGGGUCGGAGGGUAUUUCGAAACUCGCGUCUGCGUCUGCGUUUCAUUGCGUUGCGGGUUUGUUGAAGAGUACGGGCGAUACCGUUCGUCAAAACGCUGCGUUUUUGAUGAAGGAGAUUCUCUCAUUAGACGAAACGCGAGUUCACGCGUUUGCGGUUGAGAACGGUGUCGCGGAGGCGUUAGUGAAGUUGAUUCGCGAUUCGGUUUCGUCUAGCGCGACAAACUCUUCGUUAAUAGCGAUUUAUCAAAUGGUGUUGCAAAAGCCUGAGAUCGCGUCGGAGUUUCUCGAAAUCGGUCUAGUGAAUCUAACGGUGGAGAUGAUCGUUGACGCUGAGAAUAGCGUUUGCGAGAAAGCGUUAGCGGUUCUAGACGCGAUUUGUGAAACCGAAAAAGGGAGAGAGGAAGUGAGUAAAAACGAGUUGGUGAUGCCGCUUUUGGUGAAGAAGAUACCGAAGGUUUCUGAAUCAGCGACUAGGAGCUCAAUGUCAGUGAUUUUGAAAUUGUGUAAAACAGAAAACGCGUUUGCGGUUGAAGAAGUGGUCCGUUUGGGUGCAUUUCAAAAGGUGUUGCUUGUGUUACAAGUUGGGUAUGGAGAAGAAACUAAGGAGAAAGCAACUGAGUUGUUGAAGAUGAUGAAUACACAAAUGAAAUUGAUGAGUGAUUGUGUUGAUUCUUUAAAGGAGUUUAAGUAUAUCAAGAAGCCAUUUUGAUGUUUUAGGUUAGGGAGAAAUUCAAGAGUAUAUAUAAAAAAAAAAUUGAGGUAAACGACAGAUUAGAUUUCAACUAAUAAUACCAAAAACCUUUGAAAGAAACAUUGAAUCUUGGGGAUUACGCAAAUAUUUUGGGCCGCCAACAAGGGUUGAUUCUUGGUGAUCAAGUCUCUUCUCAUGAAUAUAAAACUCACUUAUCUUCUCUUUACUUCUUCAUCUCAUUAUCUCUCUCCCAAACAUUUCUUCUUACAUCUCAAAUUAUUUUUUAUAUAUUUCUCUAUAAUUAAUGGAUCGAGUGAAAUCUAAUUUCUGUUCACAUAUUCCUCUUAUUGGGUGUGUCAUGGACGUUCUGUUUCAAAUUUUUACAUCAGAUUCUAGAGAAGAAGACAAAGAAACUGUUGAUACUGGAAAUCUUGAAGCUCAGAAAUAUUUCAGACAACUACAGUGUAUUAAGCUCGGUUAAUUAGUCACUAAAAUAUAAUUAUGUAACUAAUCUCUCUAUUUUUGGUGUAAUUCUAAAAUCUAUCUAUUGCGCAAUAGUGAAAGUGUGAAACCAUAUAAUAACGUGAUAGUUCUGCUUUUGUGCCAAAAUGCUCUACAAGAACUCAAGUGAUUCUAUUUAAGGAUCGAAAUAGAAUCGAAGAUUCGAAUACUAUGUUUUCUCUGAGAUAGAUAUAUCAAUUGUGUUCAAAAUGCUCUAUACGAACAUUAAAAACUCAAAUGAAUCUAUGAGGAAAUGAUCAAGAAAAUCGAAGACUCGGUCUCUAUGUUUGAUCAGUAGUAUCACUGAUCAAAUACAAUUUCUGUCCAUCACUAAUCAUAUCAAUGUCUGUGAUACGACCUUCGUCUUCUGAUAAUAGUACAAAUGAGGCUUCAUCCGAUAGCCCGAGUUCUUGUGCAGCAGUUACUAUGAGUUUCUCGAGAUCGCUCGGGAUCCAAACCAUAACUCCGUGCUUUCUACUACGCUCUUCUUUCACCUCUUUCGGGUGGAAUGGAAAUACGGUGCAUUUCCGUCUCUCAGUUCUCUUCUCUGUUUUUCAAAAUAUAAAUCAAAUUCAUUGACUACAAGAUCCAUUUAGAGUUGUAUUUUCUGAAGAAAAGUAUUCGAGUAGUACCUUGUAGUUCAUGAGAGCUCGAUGGGUGGAUAGAAGAUUCAGAGGUUUUCACAUCUUCGAGUAACUUAAUCAGUUUCUUGUUUCCGCACAUUCGGGCUUCAUCAAGCGGAGAAUUCCCCCACCUACAAACAGAGGAUUUAGGAAGGUUAUUAAGUAAAAUCUUAAACAAUCUAAUAAUUCAUUUUCAUGGUUUUUACCGGUCUUUAGAAGUAACGCUUGCUCCAGCUUCAACCAACAUUUUAGCCAUCAAGUAUAACCCUUCAGAAGCGGUGACAUGAAGCGGUGUUCUAUGAUCAUAAUCUUCACUGUUUGGGUCCAUACCGUUUAAGAGCAGUCGCUUGAGAAAAUCAGAGUCGCCUUUCACAACUGUCGUGCAAAGGAAGUUUCCUGAAUCUUCUAAAUUAAAGGAGGCUCCUUCUUUGACAAGCAAACCAAUCACUCCGUCUUGUCCUGCUUUCACAGCCUCUAAUAAUGGCGUAUUUCCGAACUUAUCUGCGCAAAUUUGUCAUCAAAGUGUAAACAUAAAACAAUGAAAUGUUCUCCAUUAGAACGGAUACCGAUUAAUAUAUUACCUUUUAGAUUGAUAUCAACACCUUCUUGAAUAAGGAAUAAUGUAAUGUCUUCAUAGCCUCUACAUGCUGCAAGAUGCUGCAUAUGAAGAAGACAAUUGCAGGUUAUAAGAAAGAAUCAAUAGGAAGCUCUUACAAGAAAGAUAAUUGAUCAGCGAAAAACGUACAAGCGGUGAUCUUCCAUCGUAAUCUGUUUUGUUAGGAUCGGCUCCAGAUCGGAUUAAGCUCUUAAGCUGGUAAAAAUCUCCUUGGAAAGCUGCACUGUUUACUUUCAAUGCAAGUUCUGCUUCUUGUUUCCCAAUGUGAAUCACAAUGUCAGAUUCUAGCUUCUUUAUCCUCUCAUUUGAAUCCUUCUCCUGCCAAAAACCAAGAUUGAGUUCCAAGAUUUCUUAAUCGAGUUUAAACCCUAAGUAAGAGAUAAAAAAAGAGUACCUCCAUAAGAUUGUUCAAGAUUGUGCGUCCGUCGUGAAAAUAAAUCUCGAGAAUGCUCGAGAAAGACUGUUUAUCGAGUCGUAAAAGAUGACAUAGCUCGCAAACCCUAACAGUGAAAGGUUGAGAGAUGUUGCAAAUGAUGGAGAUAUCUCCAAAAGAAGUGUGAGGCCCAAGCAACGUCACACUCUCUUCUGAUCCAUCUGUUCUUGUAACAAGAGCCUCCUAUAAGAAGCCACAAAAAUUUACAAAGUGAGAAAUAGAGAAGAAGCAAAGAUAGACAACAACACAAUGAGAUAUUACGUACCAAUAAGCCUUCACAGACGAAAUACAAAUGAUCCACGACGUUUCCUUGCUCUGUUAUUACUUCUCCUGGAAGAAAAUACUCUUCAUGGAGCCUUAUAACUAUUUGAUUAAUAAACUCCGUAGAGCAGCCUUUGAAGAGAGGGACUUUCUUAAUGUAAGGCAGGUACAAUAAUUGCGCAAUCUGCAAGCAAAAUGUAUUGACUGAUGCUUUUUUUACAAUCAUACUAAACAAAUCUACUAUUAGAAGCCAUGAUCAGUAGCUCAGUUGAUGUAUUAGAAGCUAUUAUUAGGGUACCUUGGCGCGGAUAGAGGCAGGGAUGUCCUGAAGCAUGACAGUGUCGGUGUAGUGACUGUCAUACUGCAAUCUCACAUGACCGGUUAUCUGGCUACGAAGGUCUCUCCCGAGUUUUUUGCGGUUCAUGAAGCUUAUGAGAUCAUUCAUUUUAUCUCUGAACCUCUCUGUGUUUGAUCCUUUCACAAUCAAGGCAGUGAUGUUACCAAUAAGGUACGCACCGAGAACCAUGUCAAAUGAAACAUAUAUCAUCACGAAUAUCAUUUCCCUCAGAUUCACCGCGUGAAUGUCUCCAUAACCUGAAGUCAAAAACAAGACAAAAACAACCAUCAGUCUCUUUUGUAAUAACUAAUUAGAUGAACAUCAAAAUGGUAUUGGUUUUUAUACCGACAGUUGCCAUAGUGACAAUGGCGAAGUACAAAGCCGUGGUAUAACGUUUCCAGAGGUCGAUUUCUCGGAAAUUUUCGUAGCUAUAGUCUCCUAGCUUCAAGCUACCGAUCCAAGUGUAACCUUCGUUCUCUGGAGGAAGAGUGGUGGCCAAGUAAUAGAAGAUGCAAGCAGCAGUGUGAGUACAGUAAACUUCAACGAACAAGAGCUUUAAGAUUCUGGUGAAGAGAUAGUUGAUUCUUGUGUCUUUCUCAAGCCUUUGGAAAAACUCAACCACUUUGCGAACCCGAAAUAGCCUUAUCCACAACAAGUACCUCACCAACUCAUGUUUCCCUGAUGCCUACAAAAAGGUUAGGUGUUAGUAUAAACCAAACCAAACCGAAUCCGAACCAAAACAUAUUUAUAACCCUCUUGGUUUAUUAUUUAAAAAACCGAAACCGAAGUGAAACUGAUUUUAUUGUAACCUAACCAAAUAAGUAGAUAUUCAUUUGACUUUUAUUUUUAUCAAAUAGUAUGUAAUUAUAAUAUACUCUGUAAUAAAUCAUAUUAGAUAAUUAUAAAUAUUAGUUAAAUAAUAAUUUUUAUAUGUUUUAAAGUUAAGUUCAACCUAACCAAACUAAAAUUCUAUCAAGUAGGAACUAAAGUUGCAUCACCUAGAGACGAAUCAAACAAAUUACAAAUAGUGUUUUUUUUUUUUUGGUUUAAACAAAUAGUGUUUAGUUGGUUUGAGUUUAUAUAAACCAAGAAAACCGAACCUGACAAACUAAAACUGAAUCAAAACGAGUCGAAACAUACUAAUUUCAAAUCAUUAUUCACUAAACUUGAUAAAACCGAAAACCAAAAAUAAACUAAACCGCAAACCGGAUUUUCCACUCCUACAUAAAAAAUGUUACAAAGACAUUUGACUUUUCUUAUAGAUCUUUUUUUCUUAUAGAUCUAGGCAAUGCUAAAAGGCAAACGUAAGUACCUUAUAGAUAAGAUCCCAAGGGAAGCAACCAAUGAAAUCCAUGAGAAAAUGUGACUUCAAGUACCUGAAAAACAUGAUGAUGUAUAUAGCUUUAAGUAGAAAUAGUUAAAAUGCUUGUAAGGGUCUAAUAUAUAUAACUGACCGGAGAGCAAUACGUGUUGGUUUAUAGACAGUCCGGUAGGUCUGGGUAUCGCGGUAGGCAACAAAAAACAGAAGAACAAUAUCGACCAAGAACGCGAUCUGACCAACAAUGUCAAGUAUAAAGAGUCUCUCAGGCAGACCGCGGAAGAAACCAAACUCCAUUGGAGUGAACAAAGAAGAGUAUAUUGCCCACACCAAUAUGAACAUUUCCCAUGCCUUGUACCACCUGCUCAUAUUUUUCCAACUUUUCAUUAGUUCAGGUCUAGUCAAAGAUUCUUGAAAAAUGUAAAGAUUAUGGCUUAUACUUGAUCUAUCAACUUGGUAAUGUAGCUACGUAAUCGUGGGAGGGAGACAAAUGAAAAUAAUAGUUAAGUGCAAGCAACAACGUUUAAGAUUUUCAUUUGUUUAAGAUCGACGUAGCUGGACUUAGUUGAAUAUACAUUUUUAUUAGUAUAGUUUCGACAUUUUUAUUAUUUUAUACUAAUAUUGUUAUUAUGCUCAUAAGAACAAGUGGAUUAAAUAUCCACGUGUGUGGCCUCUGGUUACGGCAGCUUUAGUGGAACUAACUAAUAAUUGGAAAAAUAUCAUUAAAAUCUCCACCUUAUUCAAAACAUUGAUUUAAAUCCUUAACUUACGACGAAACGAAAUAAAUAUCAAACUUAUGUUGAUUUUCCAAAUAAAUAUUAAACUUAUGUUGACUUUCCAAAUAAACACCAAACUUUCAUUGACUUGGCCAUAUUAGGCAUGACGUUAAGUGAGUUAACAGAUAAUGUUAACGGGAUUAAUUUUCUGUUAACAGAUCCGCUAAUUAAAAAUGACAGUAUUGUUGAAAUAUAAUCAAAUCUCAUCUAAGUCAUAUAACCUAAAGUCGUAUUCAUAUAAGUUAGUUAUUUACGUAAGAGUCACGAAUGUACGUACGUAUAGUUGUGUCUGUUCGUAAAGUUGUGUCUUUUCGAUUAACACAUAUACGUACACGUUGUUUUGUGUUGUAUAAGUAGAUCGAGUCAAACUCAAUAACAUCAUUGUGUGUAAUACAUUUUCUCUUAUCAAUAAAGAUCAAGUUUCUUCAUACUCUAUUUUUCAUUUUGGUUUUGUUCUUCAUACUCUGUUAAAACAGAGUUCGUUUGUUGAUCCCGUUGAUCAAAACACUAACAAGUAUUUCUUCUAAACAUAAAACGACGUUGUUUUGUCGUAAUUAUUCAAUAAAAUCCCGAGUUUCAGAUCAUACUCUAUUUAGGGUUAGGGAUUUCGCUCGAUUUGGGGAUCGAAGAUUUACUUUAGGGAUUUAAUUCAAUCGUUACGACAAAACAACGUCGUUUUGUUGUUAUAUGAAACAAUGUCGUUAUCAAUUAACAUAUAUGUUAUCAGAAAAUUACCUCCGUUAACGAGAUCUAUUAACCCACUUAACGUCGUACCUAAUAUGGCCAGGUCAACAGAAGUUUGAUAUUUAUUUGGAAAGUCAACAUAAAUUUGAUAUUUAUUUGGAAAGUCAACAUAAGUUUGAUAUUUAUUUGGAAAGUCAACAUAAGUUUGAUAUUUACUUCGUUUUGUCAUGAGUUGAUGAUUUAUUAACCCACUUAACGUCGUACUUAAUAUGGUCAGGUCAACGGAAGUUUGAUAUUUAUUUGGAAAGUCGAUGAAAGUUUGGUGUUUAUUUGGAAAGUCAACAUAAGUUUAAUAUUUAUUUGGAAACUCAACAUAAGUUUGAUAUUUAUUUCAUUUCGUUAUGUGUUGAGGAUUUAAAUCAACGUUUUGAAUAAGUUGGGGAUUUUAACAACAUUUUUCCCAACUAAUAAUCCGAUCUUCGAUGAUUAUUUCUGACACAACCAUAAUUACUAAUAUAACCCCAGUAAAACCAAUUACCAGAACUGAAAAAUAAACAUUUAAGGGAAUGUAACAGCAUUCAGCCAUUCCUCUACAUUCAACUAUUCAAGUUGUUUAACGUAGAAUUUCUAUUUAAAGAUAGAUUUAAAGUUUGGUUUAGUCGGUUUCUAUUUUAGAUUUAAGGUUAAAGUUAUUCAAUAGGUCGGCUGCAUAUAAAACAAAUGCUUAGAUUUAGAGGUGAAAAACGAAAGAGAAGAAUAUGACAAGGAGGUGUCCCACCAUAUUUUUUAAAAAAUAAUAACAAUAAUAAUAUCGACAACAAAAUCACCUAAUUAGCAUCUAAUAUUUACUUUUGAUAAGUGCUAAAAUUAUUCAGAUUAUUAUGUAGUGGUUUUAAAAAAUCCUUUAUUUAAAAAAAAAAAAAUUUUAAAACUAGAUGGAAGUGACACUAAUAUUGAAUUCGAUUGGUUACACAACGAUAAAAAAAAAUUCUUUAACAGAAAAAAAUAAUAAUAAACAGUUUUAUAGUGGGAAAACAAAAUUUAACGGUUCAAAAAAACUGAAAAAUGUAAAUUUAAUAUGUGUUAGUAUAUAAUUUGAAGUUAAAACCAACUCGUUUCCAACAAAAUAGGGAGACAAGUAUUUUGAAGUGAAAGAUUUUAAUAAGAUUUCCAACAAAAAUAAUAAGAUUUUAAAAAAAAUUAUAGAGAAAGAAAAAAAAAAGAUAUUUUGAAGAUUUCAAGAAAAGUAUUUUCUACGUUUUUUUCUCCCGAUAGAAAGGAAACUCUUCAAGUGCAGGAUGAAGAGAGAGAAAUAAAAGUACCUGUUUUUGUGAUGAAUGAUGUAUUUAUAAUCAUUAUGUCCAUCGGUUUCAAUUCUCCGAUGCUCUGAUGAAUCAAGCCACCGAAACGUCUCUGCUAAACUGAGUUUGCCUCUUCUUGAUGAAACGUCGUCGUUUGAUUCCUCUUCUUCAUGAUCUAUAAUCUCUUGCCGUCGCCGGAGACGUCCCAUGUAUCCAAGAAUCGGUCAAAUCUCCGGCGAUCUCUCCAACAAAAAAGUCUCGAAAAAAGGUUUAAAACCCGAAUCAAAUCUUGAAUCUGAAACUGGAAACUUCGAUCCGAUCUCUUUGUAGUUGAUAAAUCUUGUAAUAAUGUCUUUCAAGUUGAAGAGAAAAGGCGGGAAGAUCACGAGAGCUGGUUCUUUGUUGUUUCGUCUUCUUUAGUUCUUCUUUCUCGUGAUGUUAAAAGCUCUUGAUUUUGUUUUUGUCGAGAAAAUACAGGUUUUUUUUUUUUUUUUUUGGUUUGGACGCUUAUUAGUUUGAAGUGUAUAACGUAAGGUUUUGUCUAGAAGAAUCGAAUUUAUAUAGGACAUCAGAACAUGUCGAUAUGAAUAUAUGAUACAUAUAAUUUUAUAAGUCUAAUUAAAAAAAAAAAAAAGUUGAAUCUUAGAAAUUAAAUAAAUGUGGAAUUAAAUUGUAUGAAGGAUUAGCAAUCUUUACAUACUGUUCAGACCUGGUGAAGAUAGUGUCUUCUCCAACCGAAUGGCCGGCGUUUUCAAUGUAUUUGGAGGAAUUUCAGAGCGACAAAGAGGAGUUUUCAUCUUUUUCUUUAUCUUUAAUUUCUCGUAGCGCUAAUGUUAAAGCGGAUAAUCUGGCACGAAAUGUUCGUACAGAACCGCAUUAUAUCACCUAUGUAAACAACAUUGCUCAGGAAUUGCUCUUUUGAGUUCUAAUUAAUUACGGAUGACAAAAAAAAAAAAUUAAUAAAAAAAUUUACCAGGAGAUUACGAUGCUUGUUGUUUAGGAUAAAUCUAAGUCUGGAAGAUGAUUUCCUAAACCGAUUUAAACCGAUUUUUGUGAAUCAUUUAUAGCAUAAUCGAUUUUUAAGGUUUAUACUGGACUACUUGAACAUUUCAAUAUGGGGGAGUUUCAUUUUAAUAAUAAAUCUUUGUAAAUUGAUACAGUAUAAUAAUUAUAAACAUUUAUGUGUUUGUAACAGGCUAAGAGCAUCUCCAAAAGAAGAUUCUCUCAAUAAUUUUAUCGGUUCUUUUGUUAAUUUGGCAAAAAAAUAAAUCAAAACAGAUAUUAAAUGAGAGAAUCGUCUCUCUUUAGAGAGAUUUGGGCAAUUGAGAGAGCUAUAUACAUCAACCACAAAGAGAGAUUUGGGCAAUUGAGAGAGCCGUAUACAUCAACCACAAAACCAUGACUUGAAUCCAUAUCUUCUUUUUCUCCAUCUCCCAAAAUUUGAUCAAGUGUUUUAAAAACCAAAACACAUAAAUUUGAUCAAAUGUUUAAUAUUUUUAUGAAUUGCAAUAAUUAUUAAGUUUUCUGAAAUAAAAUUUUUAAUAAUUUUUUUUUCUAAGAGAACUCCAUUAGAGAAUCUACCAUUGGACUAUGAAAAAAAAACAAAAACAAAAAAAACAAAAGUUUUCAUCUCACAAAUCUCUAAAAUUUGUACUCCAUCCGUUUCGUUUUAGUUGUCGUUUAAGGUUUUUUCACACAAAUUAAGAAAAGCAUUAAAUUUUAUGUUUUAUCCUUUAUUAAUAUAUUUUAUAAAAAUUUCAUUGGCUAAAACAUUAAAACAUUAGGGAUAAAACUGGAAUUUUCACCAAACAUUUGCAUUGAAAACCUAAAACGACAACUAUUAUGAAACAAAAUUUAAAUUCUAAAACGACAACUAAACCGAAACGGAGAGAAUAUUAAACAAUGUGAGAAAGUGUCGUAUUGAAAAAAAAAAGUCUCGUAUUGGAGAUGCUCUAACAGCAUUUCUUCUAGUUGUUUAACGUAGGAUUUCUAUUUUUAUAUACAGCACGUUUUGAGAUUUAGUUUAAAUUUUAAAUUGGUCGGCUUUGUAUAAAACAAUAGAGAAGAAAUAUACACAAAUAUGAAGACGUGUCCAAAAAAGUGAGAAUAUCGAUUAUAAAAUCACCUAAUUUGCAUCUAAAUAUUGACUUUCGUUUAUAUAAUGUACACCAGAGAUAAUUCAUUUUAGUCCGAAAUCUUAUUCUCUUAAUUUUUUUAAAAUCUUAGUUUAGUUAUAAUAGCUUUUUUUUCUAAUAUAUAUAUAUAUAUAUAUAUAUAUAUAUAUAUAUAUAUAUAUAUUUUUUAUUAUAUAAAACAUAGUUUUCAAAGUUAGUAACUUAUAGGAUUGUGCUAUAUGUCAAAUUUAUCAAUCAGAUGUUGACAUGGGUUAGAAAAAGUUAAUUUUUUUCUCUUAAAGAAAUAGAAAAACUAAAAAAAAAAACAAAAUUUACGUAUACUAAUUCAUAUAUCUAUAUCUAAAAAAAAAUAUUUUUUCUUAACCAAAAAGAAAAUUAACAAAUUUGUUUCACAUGUGUUAUUGGUCAAUAAAAUUUAGCAUGUAUUAAUUUUUAAAAAAUCAUUUAUUAUAUAUAAAAAAAUAUUUUAAAAAAUGUUUGUUUUCCAAAUACUUUUGUGGAUUUCUGUUUUUUUUAAUUAAUUAUGUUUUAUUAAUUGUUAAUUAUUUUUAAUAUUAACUAAGAUAUAGAUUUGAUAUGAUAUAAACAUUAUUUUGAUAUUAAAUUGGUAUCACUUAAGAUGAAGUGUGUAGAAUAAAAUCGAGUUUUUUUUUUUUUUUUUUUUUUUUUUUUUUUUGCCAAACACCAUUUUAUUAAGUAAUCGGACGAAGACUUUCUUCUAAGGAGAGCCAAUCCGGAGCCGAUGUGCUUACAUGGGAGAAAAGAGAACCUCGUGCUCUUGCUUUUUUUGCGAGGCAAUCAGCACGGACGUUGUUACAACGAGGAAUAAAUCUAAUAGAGAAAGAGGGGAAAGAGAGCUUCAAAAGCUUAAAAAGUUGUAAUUCUAGUGCUUAGGUAUGCCAUUCAGAUGAGUUAUCCAAAAGAGAAAUUAGCUCGGAGCAAUCAGUGGCAAAGCCGAGACUCGUCUUCGAUUCUGAGAUGAGGCAUUCCAUUGCCCAAAGAAGGGUUUCAAAUUCUGCUUGCAGAGGCGAUAAUCUCCGACGAGAGCUUUUCAUUCCCAUCAAGAUAGGCGUUUCUUUAUCCAUAACAAUCCAUCCGUGCCCACUGAGAGUGUCUUUGGCGUGCCAAGAACCAUCAAUUUGGCAUUCCGGUGGAGUAUCCCUUGUGAAUGUUGGAUUAAUAGGGAUCCUCACACUUUCAACGAGGGGAUCAUCAUCCUUAGUAUUUGCCGCCUUCCAAUCUUUCGCCUCUUGAAAGGCAUGAUCUAGUGUUGUGGAAGUCGAAACUAACACAAUCGAGAUUUGUCUAGGGUUUUAAUUUAGGGAUACGACUUGCGAGAAUUCUCAAAGAACAACAAAACGGAUCGAAACCAAAGAUGGUGUUCUUGAUAUUAUUAAGAAAAAGAUAGCUUUGAUCGUAAAAGAAAAAGUGUUUGCGCUUUGAGAGCUUUGUGUAGUCUAAAUUCUAGAGCGAUAUUGCUUGCCUUCUGUGAGAGCCUUGAGUCUCUUUAUAUAGGGAUGAUAAGCCGCCUCUCCAGCGAUAUUCUCGGAAGAUUUCCAUUUAUCUUGAAAUCGUCUAGAAUAUCGCGGAUUAGGAUAAUUUCCUUAUUCUUCGGAGUUUUUUUGGAAGAUUUCCUGAUUUGAGUCGAUCCUUCUAGAUUCUCUCUUAUCAUUUCCGGGUAUAUCGGAAAUGAUGCCUUGCUUGGAAAUGAUACUUCUGAAGGCGAAUAUUUACUAAGUCCUUGCCUCGGAAGGUCUUCCGCGUUCGAGCUCAUCGUUCCCUUCGGCUCGGAUGUCUUGGUUCUUUGCCUCGGGUAUCUUGCGAAGUUGGCUCGGGUGUCUCGUGAAGUUGGCUCGGGACGGGAGGAGAAUUCGGCUCGUGGAAGGCGGUGUGUCGGGUCCCGUUCCCGAGGCGAUACAGGAUGUCCCGAGCCGGUUUAGUCAUGAUUUUACCGAGCCGAUCCGGUGAUCGAUCCCGAGCCGAUCCGGUGAUCGAUCCCGAGCCGAUCCGGUGAUCGAUCCCGAGCCGAUCUGGUGAUCGAUCCCGAGCCGAUAUGGUGAUCGUUCCCGAGCUGUUUUGUAAGCGUUCCCCGAGCCGGUUUAGUGAUAUGUCCCGAGGUGUUAUGUCUUAGCUCGGACUUAGCGCGAGUGAAAUCGGAUCCCAACAGUUAGCCCCCCAGCUCGUUGUCUUGAGGAGCAAGUGAUGAGCUUCACGAUUAGUCCCGAGCUUGUCCUUGUACGCCGAGGCUAUUAGAGAGUUUGAAUCCUUCAAUGGACUGAAUUCUCCUGACGAUUCGAAUCCCUUUGACGCUUCAUCUUCUUCUAGCGUGUGACGAUUGAAUUUCCCUCUCGAGAAGUGGAAAAGUUUUUUACUUAUUCCCGAGAAUUUUGGCGGACGCGAAAUUAUCUCUGAGUCCACGCGCACCCGACGGGCCGAAGCGUUUUAUAAAUACUCCUCUCGCGAUUCAUUUCUUCAGUUCUGCAAUUCUCGAGCAAAAAUCUAAAGGUUUGUUUCUUUUGCUCUGAUCUUGAAUUCCUUUACGUUUCUUCUUUUCCGAUUUAUUUCCGUCGUUGCGCCGCCGUUGCUAGAGUUAGGUUGAUUUUGCCGAUCUCCUAGAUUCUACUUUUCCGAUCAUCCCCUAAUUUUCCCGAGCCAGAAAAUGUCGCUUUCAGAUUCAAGUGAUUCGACCCGAGGCAGAAGCAUUCCUCUUCAUAAACGUAAGAUGGUUUGGAGCGUCUCGGAUGGAUCCGAGGCCAGUUCAUCAAGUCGACCCGAGCCGGGCAGCGGAGCGGAAUCGUCAUCCGAUCAACGAGGAGAUCCGAGCCACUUUGUGGCUCGGGAAGAUGCAAUUGCUGAUAUAGCUCGGGAUGAGGAUCUCCCUGAUGAUCCCGAGGUAAUUUUGAAUAGGAGGACGCGUCCUCCGGCUUCGGAUGAGGCUGGAGUUUAUCGUUGGCAAGAGGUGCCCGAGCUGCCGGUUUUACCCGAGGUGAAGGGUGAAAUGGUUACUUAUGAUCCCGAGGAGGGAGCCAGGCUCCUUCAAUUAGCGAUUCAAGGCGCAAUGGCUCAAAGGAAGAAAACGCGAGCCAUGAAAGUGAAAAAACCUGAUCCUCCCGGUUCCACUCUAUCGACUUCAGACUCUCUUCGGGACUUAAAGGCACGUUUUAACUUCAGCGAAGGCGUGACUCUGCGAUUGCCGACCCCGAACGAGAGGGCUGAUGAUCCUCCCGAGGGAUUCUUCACUUUGUAUGAGGGAUUCUUCUAUUUCUGUUUCCUUUGGUUUCCGAUCUCGAGGCCAAUCAUCGAGUACAUGUGGUCAUACAAGCUUGCUUUGGCCCAGAUUAAAACCCGAGGCCUUCGUCAUUUGAUCAGGAUUCUGGUUCGCGGGAUCGAGACGUAUAACUAGGCCUGGGCAAAAUACCCGGAACCGAAUACCCGAACCGAAAAACCCGAACAAUACCCGAACCAAACCCAAACCCGAUUUUUAAAAAUACCCGAAUGGGUCCUAACCUCCUACCCGAAAAAAACCCGAACCGAACCCGAACCGAAUCCAAUACCCGAAUGUACCCGAAUACAAAUAUACACCUAUAAAUAUUAGUUAUAUUUAUAUUUAUAAUACCCGAAAUACCUAAAAUUACAAUCAUAAAUCCGAAUAUAUUAGGUAUUUUAGAUAUUUUUGGUUAUAUUUGGGUAAAGAGUAACCAUUGUAUUUUCGAUAAAUCGAGUAUUUCGGUUAGAUUUGGGUAUAUAUGAGUUAAAAACCCGAACCCGACCCGAACCCGAAAAUAUUUCGGGUAUUUUUGGUUAUUUUCGGGUAUUUUGCUUUUUUUAUUAAAAUACCCGAACCGACCCGAACCCGAACCGAAUCCGAACCAAAUUUUUAGAAUACCCGAAUGGGUCUUGACCCCCUAACCGAAUAGACCCGAUACCCGAAAAAAAAGAACCGAACCCAAACGGAUACCCGAAUGCCCAGGCCUACGUAUAACGAUGUCGGCCUUGAUCACCUGAGGAAUCUGCUGGAGAUUCGACGUGUUCCGGGCUGUGCGAUGGAGAGGUAUUAUAUCUCUCCUAGCCCGAGGAGGAGGGUUAUCGGUGGCUUCCCGAGCAAGGACGAAAAAUACACAGAUCACUUUUUCUUUGUCGCUCUUGAUGAAGAUUGUGUCCCCGAGGGCUGCCUCGGAAAAAUGAUUGGGAAAUGGAGAAAGAUUGGUAGUUUAUUUGACGUUUUGCUUGCUACGUGUUAUAGCUUGGAUUCCUCUACUGAUGCCCCUCUUUUUUUUUUUUUACUUUUUACAGACCGAGGCCCGAGCUUCCUGGACCGUAUUCCCGAGGACCUUUUCAGCAUACGCGAGGAGUUGGCUGCUCGGAAGUGUCAUUGGAUCAAGCAUUUUUCUCAAGUAAGAGUUGAAAAGGCGUUAAGGAUUCUUCACGGUGCGUCCUGUUCCACUUCUCCAUCUUCUUCAGAUCAGAGGCUAAGUUUUUUGACGGAGAUGCAAGGGGUGAAGAUGUCCUUGAGGGAAAAGAAGGCCGCCGAGAAGAAGGCGCGCGAAGAGCAGAUUGCGAUAGAGGCGGCUUUCGGACCUGUGUCUCCGCCCGAGGCUAUAGCGGGGACCGAGGCAACUACUGACCCCGAGGUGACUGUUGAUCUCGUAGAAUCGGGUGCUGAUUUAGCUGUCACCAUGGCUCUGUCCGGGGUGCUUGAUGGUAUCCCGGUUGGGGAUGUUGCUAACCAGGUUCCCGAGGCGGAGAACACACUGGUGGUUGGUUUGCCUGCUGGUGGGCAGACCAAGUCCAAGGGAAAGCAUCCCUGAGGAGAACAUUCCGGGGAUAAGCGUAAAAGGUCGAAACGGGCUCACAGCUCCUCUCGGGCAAUAUACCAGGACAAGGUCGCUUCCGCCAACCUUAUCGCUUCUUACGCUUGGCCGCUGCUUCCCGCCCUCGAAGGCUUAAUCGAGGCGGAGCGAUAUGGUGAGACCGCGGCGAGCUUCUUGAAGGUACGUGUUUGGAUCCAUUCUUGUACAAGGCAGUCUUGCUUCAGGACUUGACGUGUCUUUGUUUUUUUAUUCUCCAGGCCUUCUCCUCGAUGAACACGAUGGUUCAUUCUUACGACACAGGGGCUCGUGAAAACGCGCUGGCUAUCGAACGGUCUGAGUCCACUAAACUGAAGGCUGAGAAGGCGGCGGCCGAGGCUAUUGCAGCAGCGCAAACUGCCGAGGCGUUAGUUGUUGCCAAAUAGGAGGUGCGGAGGAAAGAGUCCGAGGAGAAUGCUCGAAUUCGUCGGAAGGCUGAGGCGGAGAUUGAAAGGCUCAGACGUCUGCUCACCGAAGAGAAGUCUCUUCGUGAAGUUAAAGUGGCCCGGGCGAAGAAGGCUGCCAAGAGAGAAGUCGCCGAGGAGUUUGUGGAGAAGGUUAAGAGGACCGAGGCAAAGUUGUCAGAGUUUGACAAAAUUUCCGAGCGGUACGUGUACUUCUCUCAAGCAAAGGCUAAUGCAGAGCUAAUCGCCGCCCUUGAAGCUGGAGGGCAGAUCGAAGACGAGAAGCUUGAGGUCAACAAGUGGAAAGAAGAGUUCGGGGAUGCCGAGGCUGAGUAUGCUAGGCUCGGGGCCGAGUUGCUCUGAGACCUCACAGUUCCUCUGGUGUCUCCUGGCUCUACUCAUGACAACCUAGGAAAUCGAUCGGUGGAAGGUGACCCGGUCAAAGUCGGAGUUACUGAUCAGGCUGGAACGAACCUGUAUCCCGCGGCUGCGCAUUGUGAGGAGCAGGAUGAAUAAGCUUGAGGCGUCUUUCUCUUUUGUUUUACGAUUGUUUAUCGUUCCUUUGUAAGACCUUCGCCUGGAUGGCUUUAUCCACUUGAACGUAAACGUUCUUUUUAAGUACUCGAAUCGUUUCAGGCUAUUUUGACUCAAAUGCAAAAAUUGGAUACCAGUGUUAAAUGACUGGGUUUCAUGAAUACGACUCUUUCGUCGAGAAGUUAAGUUCAGAUCCGUUUUAACUUCCGAGCCGAAAGUGAAAAGAGUCGUGCACCAGUGUUAAGGUAACUGGGUUUUAGCAAUCGUGACGUUAAGAAGUUAAUUCUUCCGAACCGUUUCAACAGUGUUAGGAAACUGGGUUUCGGUCACGUGGGACUAAUCUUUAUCGGUUGCAACCCGAGUUGAUAUAGUCGAUUGCCAGUGCUUAGAAGCGAACUGGGGUACCAGUGUCGAAGUCAACUGGGUUUUCUGAAGACAAUUUCUUUGUAGCCGGAUAUCUCCGACCAAAUUGUCUCGAAUGUUUAUAUAGCGCAUUGUAACCGAGGCGGUGAAAUGAGCCUUUCUGUCCGAGGACAUGGCCAUUGUCCGAACGAACUUUUAGCUUUAUAGGUCGAUAAGAUGACCAUAAAAGUUUCCGAGGUGACUUUCAGGAUAGACGUCGAUGAUGAAAUUUAAAAAUUAGCUAAAGAGUUUAGUGGGAGUAUUAUGUAUACGGACCCACUCCCCCCCUUUUUUAAUUAGGGGGGGUAGCUGAACUCGUCCGAGGACAAGCUGCCUACGUACCCUUUUCAGGGAUCAAGCCACUCCGUAGUUCAAGUACACGCGUACCUUAGGUUUUUAGCGGUAAUAUUUCCUUAGAUGCAUAGCGUUCCAGGAUCUAGGUACCGCUUUGCCGUUCAUUUUGAUGAGUUCGUAGACGCCGGGACGGACGACCUUUGCGAUCGUGUAAGGUCCUUCCCAAUUCGCGCCGAGCUUCCCGGCCGUAUUCUGGAAGACUUUUCGUAGUACGAGAUCUCCUUCGUGGAAACAACGAUGCUUAACAUGAGCGUUGUAGUACCGAGCUGUGGCAUUCUGGUAGUUCUAUAUACGGACCAAAGCCGAAUCUCUUAUUUCGUCAAUCAAGUCCAGUUCGUCUAGUAUCAUCUGUGUGUUAGAAUUUUCCUGUUCGGGGAGUAAACGUCUUCUUAUUCCCGGGAUUUCGGCUUCGGUGGGAAUCACGCACUCCGUGCCGUAGACGAGGGCGAAAGGUGUUUCUCCCGUGGCCCGCCGCGGCGUGGUUCUGUGCGACCAUAGUACUCCUUCUAAUUCGUCAGCCCAGCGGCCUUUCUUCGCAUCGAGGCGUUUCUUUAUUCUGUUGAGAAUCGUUUUGUUAACUGCCUCUGCCUGUCCGUUUCCUUGAGGAUACUGAGGCGUAGACUUGCUGAGGCGAAUUCCCCAUUUCUCGCAGAAUCCUUCGAACCGAGCCGAAAUGAACUGUGAUCCGUUGUCCGUAACGAUCUCGUAAGGUAUCCCGUGGCGGCAUAUGAUGUUCUUCCAGACGAAGUUCUCGACCUGUGCGUAUUUGAUGCUGGCAUAGGAGUCCGCCUCGAUCCAUUUGGAGAAGUAGUAUGUUAGUACGAGGACGAGCUUCUUCUGCUUGGAGUUGUGUGGAGGUCCGAUAAUGUCCAUGGACCAACACAUGAAGGGGUAAGGCGAUGUGAUGGAAGAAAGGAGCUCGGCGGGGUGAUGAAUCGUUGAUGCAUGUCUCUGACAUUUAUCGCAUCGUCGAGAGAAUUUUUCACAAUCCUUAACCAUCAUCGGCCAAAAAUACCCGUGCCGUUUUAUCUUUAUAGCAAGGGCUCUCCCGCCAGAGUGAUUUCCACAGGAUCCGCCGUGUACUUCUUCCAUGAUUUUCCGAGCUUCGUUUCCUUCGACACAGAUUAGUAGGGGUCCUGAGAACUGCUACUUAAAGAGCUCUCCGUCGAUCAGAGUAUACCAAGCCGCUUUUGCCUUAAGCUUCCGAGCUACCCAUUUUUCAGUAGGAACUUCUCCAUCAGCUAUGUUGCUUCGGAUGGGUCCGAUCCAUUUGGUAUCGCUUCCGUAUUCGGGCUCGGUUGUGUUUGCAGAUUGCUGGUCCGGAAGUUCGGCGUCCAUUUCUUCCAGGUCUUCCGUCUCCCGAGCUGUUAGUACUUGAUCUUCGCUACUGUCUUCAAUGCUCGGCUUUUCGAUGAACUCUACCGGUAUGAUCCUCUUCAGAUUUGGGUCGGAGGUUGAAGCUAGAGCUGCUAAGGCAUUGGCCGAUGUGUUCUCACCUCACGGGAUUCUGGUUAACUCGAACUCUCCGAACUGUUUUGCCAAAUCUUGCGUGAGAGCAAGAUACGCUUCCAUUCGUUCGUCGUGAGCCGCGUAUUCUCCAUUGAAUUGAUUGGCCACGAGCUGGGAGUCACAAAAGGCUCGCAGCUUGUUGAUCUGAAGUUCCCGAGCCAGCUUAAGUCCUGCUAUCAGUGCUUCAUACUCUGCCACGUUGUUAGUCGCGUCGAAAUUUAGCCGAAAAGAUUGUUCAAGGAUUUCACCCUCUGGUGAUGCUAAGCGGAUUCCGACGCCAGAACCUUGUUUUGAGGAUGAGCCGUCGAUGUGGAGGAUCCAAACAGCGUUGGGCGACUCUUCUCGAGCGUUUUCCGUAGGCAAUUCGAUGAUAAAGUCGGCGAGGACCUAAGAUUUUGCGCAUGUUUUAUUCCUGUAUUUGAUGUCGUACUCACUGAGUUCUACUGCCCACUUGGCCAGGCGUCCGGACUGGCUCGGACUGUGCAAGACAGUUCGGAGUGACACGGGCGCCAUGACGACGAUCGAGUGAGACUGGAAAUACGGUCGUAACUUCCGAGCUGACAUUACUACGGCAAGAGCGAGCUUUUCAGUUUGCGGGUAGCGUGUUUCUGCGUCGGUGAAAGUUUGCGAGACAUAGAAUAUUGGCUUCUGCUCACCUCUGUCUUCUCUGACUAUGACUCCACUUAUUGUUGUAUCCGAGACUGCGAUGUACAGAAAUAAUGGCUCACCCGGGACUGGUUUUGCUAACACCGGUGGAUUAGCCAGGUACUUCUUCAGUUCCUGAAAAGCUUCUUCGCGGCGAUCGGUCCAUUCGAACUUCUUGUUUCCACGCAGAGUAUCGUAGAAAGGCAGACAUUUAUCGGUUGAACAGCAGAUGAACCGGUUCAGGGCUGCAACUCUCCCGGUGAGGCGUUGAACUUCUCGCUUAUUCUGCGGCGAAGGCAUGUUUAGUAAAGCAUCGAUUUGAUUUGGAUUCGCCUCGAUGCCUCGGUGAGUUACGAGAUAUCCAAGGAAUUCCCCUAAUUUUACCGCAAAACGACAUUUUGUCGGGUUGAGCUUCACGUUAUGUUUAUUAAGCUGGCAAAAGCAGUCGCGUAGAUGAGCUAUGUGGUCGUUUUCUUCGAGGGAUUUGACUAACAUGUCGUCGAUAUAAACCUCCAUUGUUUUCCCGAGCUGCUCGGAGAAUAUCCUGUUGACGAGCCGUUGGUACAUUGCGCCAGCGUUCUUGAGUCCGAAGGGCAUGACUUUGUAACAGUAGAUACCUCGGUCUGUGAUAAAUGCAGUCUUCUCGCGAUCGUCGGGGUGCAUGAGGAUCUGAUUGUAUCCCGCAAAAGCAUCCAUGAACGAUAGCAACUUAUUUCCCGCAGUUGAUUCCACUAAGCGAUCGAUAUGUGGGAGCGAAAAACUGUCUUUAGGACAAACUUUGUUCAGGUCGGUGAAGUCGACAUAGACUCUCCACUUGCCGUUCUUCUUUUUUACCACGACAGGAUUCGCUAACCAAUUUGGAUAUCUUGCUUCGGAGAUCGAGCCGAUCUUCAGGAGCUUUUCUACUUCGGCAUUUACGGCGUCUGCACGAUCCUGACCCAAUUUUCUUCGCUUCUGCUUGAUGGGCUUGAAAGAUGGGUCAACAUUCAGCUCGUGGCAGAUUACGUCGAUGCUUACUCCAGGUAGAUCUUCAGCCGACCAGGCGAACGUAUUGAUGUUCUCCUUGAUAAAUGAGAUGAGCUCGGUCUUAAUUCCCUCGGUUAUGUCGCUGCCGAUUUCCACGCAUCGCUCAGGUUGUUCGUUGUCAAGACUGAUGGAGAUUACUGGAUCCGAGGUAGGCUUCUUCUCCUCGCGUGCCUCCUCGUUCUGUAAUUGCUAUAACUGUUUAGAUAUAGCCUUCUCUUCGUUCCGGCCAAGUUUCUACUUCUUGUGGUCAGUUUCGGCCUUCGCUUCGGUGACAGGGUUUCGGAGUUUGUGCGCUGCCAUAAAACACAUCCGUGAAUUUUUCUGACUGCCCCAGAUCGUUUUUACGCCACUAGGAGUCGGAAAUUUGACACACAGAUGAUAUGUUGAAGCGACGGCUCGCAUUAGAUUUAGCCACGGCGUCCCCAUUGUGACGUUGUAGAUGGUAGGUUGAUCGGUGACCGAGAAGUUGACUAUCUUUGUCACCCCGCCGGCUCGGACCGGUAAUUGGAUAGUUCCAAGCGUCAUCAAAGUUUCUCCUGAAAAUCCGAGGACUGGCCUCGGGGUCGGAAUUACCUGUGACAUGUCGAUGUUCAUUUGUAGGAGCGUUUCGCGAAAGAUCACGUCGAUCGUGCUGCCAGUGUCGACUAAUACUCGGUAAAUGUCAUGGUCUCCUAUCGCUAAUGUGAUGACGAGUGGAUCGUUAUGAGGCAUGUCGAGCCCGUUCGUCUCGCUUUCCUCGAAUGUGAUCACGUCGUUAGGUCGAUCGAAGGGUCUUGUCCAGUUGCUUGGCGCCUCGGCUCGGCGUUGAUAAGCUUUGAUUGCCGCUACGGUGUCAGGACAGUACGGCGAUCCACCCAUUAUGGUGAGGACUUUUUGCCGUGUAUUGUCUCGGUCUUUAUCUUGCGUCCCCCGGGUUCUUUUCUGAGACUCCUGAUUCCUUGGCUCGGGGUCUCUUCCCGAGUUGGUCUGUUCGGGCUCUGGCUCUGGCUCGAGGUCCUUAAGUGUGACGUUCGUCCCGAGCUCUCCAGCUAGGAAUUUAGUUGCUAACUUAGCGCCGAGGCUUCGACAUCUCGAGGUAUGGUGGCCAAAAAUUUUGUGGUGUUCGCAAUAUUCUUGAUCAUUGCUCGGUGGUUGAUCCCUUGUCCAGGUGAAGGAUUCUCUUCCUCGCCCACGGCCUCGGAGCGUGUCAAUCUGGUAGUUAUGGUAUCCCGAGAAAUUGCACCCUUCGUGAUGCGUAUACGUACCGCUCUCACGCGUCUUCUUCUGGACCGGAGGUGUCGCUUGGGUUUUCUUGGUUUUCUCGGCUCGGGGCGCCUGCUUCGUUGGCUCAUGCCUCUUUGCUAGCAGCGCCAUCUCUUCUUCAUGGGCGACGAAAUCCGAGGCUCGGUGCAGCGCGUCGCGAAUUGUUGUUGGUUUAGACAGGUUCAACUCUUUCCGGAAUUCUGACUUGUACCAGAGAGCUUUCUUCAAAGCCGAAAGGGCGGCUACAUCUGUGAUUCUUUCGACCUUGGCUAGCGUCGAUUUGAAAGUUGUGAGGAAAUCUCUAAAUGGCUCGGUGGGCUGUUGGGACAGAGACCAUAGAUCUGCGUCGGAGGUUCCGGGGUCGAUGAGCACGGAGUAUUGUUUGAGGAAAAGUGUUGACAGCUCGUCGAAACUUUCAAUCGAGUUUCGUUCCAAUCUUGAAAACCACUCUAUUGCGGGUCCCUUGAGGUGUUCCACGAACAGUAAGCACAGACCAGCGUCCUUCUCUCCGGGCUUGAACCUGGCUCGGGCCACGGAUAUCACGAAUGAUUUAAUGUGAACCUUCGGGUCGGUUGAUCCGUUGUAAGAGUCGAUUUUGAACUUCCCUAGAUUGGACAUCGUCGUUUCGGAAAUUCUUUUGGUGAAAGGCGUAUUCCGAGAUUCUUCCAAAAUUCGGUCGAUGUUAGGUACAGAGGAUGAAACGCUAUGUAUCCGAAAUCUGAAAUCGGAUUUUUGAAAUUUUUUUGGAAUAUAAAUUCGAAUUAAUAAUGAAAAAUCGAAAUAAAAUCAAAUAUUUAUGGAAAUCAAAUAAAAUCUGAUUGUACUUAUUGUAACUAAUAAUAAAAGCAUAUUCCAAACAAUAUAAUACAUUAAUUACGUAUAAUAAAUUUGUUCAUAUAUUUUUGGGACUAAUUCCAUAACAAUCAACGUUUUUGUCAUUAAUUUCGCUCAUUUUAGCUAAUUAUCAUUAAUUGAAAGAUAUUUUACUUGCUUUUAAAGAUUUCUAGAAAAUUUAUCACAAAUAACCCAUCUGUUUCAUAAAUCAUAAUUAUUACGAUGGGUAUAUUUAUAAAUAAUUUUACAUUUUCUCUACAAUUCGUUAUUAUGAAUAUUUAUAAGUAUACUACACGAUUCGUUCUACUAAAAAACACACACAAUAUUAAACGCAACAUAUGUAAACCAAUAUUCUUCCGCGGUGGAACGGGUCUGAUCCUAGUUAUCCUUUAAAAACAAAAAACAAUAACAUGUUUCUAACUAUUAAUGCAUAUAAAAAUUAUUUAGUAUCAAGUUAACUAUAGAUGAGUUUCAUUGGUAUGUUAGAUAAAACAUCAAAAUAACAGAAUAGUUGAAUAACUGUUAGCACAAUGAACUGACUGGAUAAAUAUUUUAUAUAAUAAUUAUACAAUGCUGAAAAAUUAGUUUUAAUAAAAUAAUCACAUUUUAUUUUUUUAGUUAUAUUUCUAGGUAAAACAUAUAAAAUCACGUUUUCAAAACUUGAAAAUUUGUUAAAAGCAUAAACAGAAAAUAAAUAAAAAAUCAAAUUUCAGUAAUUGACACAUCAUCCUUUAAAAAAAAUAAAAAAUUAACACAUGUCCAACUAUUAAUGCACAUAAAAGCUAUUUAAUUUAAAUUUAAGUAUGAGCCUCACUGGUAUGUCAGAUAAACAACAAAAUAACGGAAUAGUUGAAUAAUUGUUAGCAUUUAGCAGAAUGAACUGAAGUGAAUAAGUUUUUUCGUAUAAUAAUUUACAAUGAUGAAAAGUUAGUUUUAGUAGAAUAAUCACAAAUUUAUAUUUCUAGGUAAAAUGUAGCGGAAUCACGUUUUCAAAACAUAAAAAAUUGUUACAUUCAAUUUUAGAAACAACAUAAACGUAUCAAAUAACUCGAAAUCAUAAGUACAUAUUUUCAUUUUCUAGGGUGAUUUAAUCUUCAUCUUGGAAUCAAUGAAAAUGAUUUAAUCUCAAAACGAGCAAGUUACGAGAGCAAAAAUGAAAUAAUAGAUUUAAAAAGUUUUAAACAAGUAAGCGAAAAACUAAAAACUAGAAAACCAUAACAAGCAAACAAAAAAUCAAUUUAUAUAGGCAUUCCAUGAAUAAUGAUACAUAUAUAUAGGCAUAUAAACCUAGGGUUUUAGAGUACAUAAUGAAUAACCCUGAUGGGCUUAUUGGGCCCGGUUAUAAGUCCAAUAUGAUGUAUUAUAACACUCCCCCUUGGACGGAGUAACCGGACCUGAUGGUCAAUCGGGAUCUCGAUAAUACGCUGGGGAAUGUUGCCUCAUUAAAACCUUACCAGGAAAACCCAGUGGGAAAAACCAUGGUGAAGGAAAAAGAGUACAACACGCAUUACUCCCCCUGAUUAGAGCAUCACCGUAGAUCUCUAAGUCUACGCAUUCCUAUUUGUUGGAAAACUUUCUAAAUGAGGAAAAUUUCUAUUUGAGGAAACCUUCUAAAUGAGGAAAGUUUCUAAUUUGGGAAAUUUUCUAAAUGAUGAAAGUUUUCAUUCCGGGUCAUUUGCUAUUUGAGGAAAGUUUCUAUUUUAGGAAACCUUCUAAAUGAGGAAAGUUUCUAUUUUGGGUCAUUUGUUAUUUGAGGAAGGUUUAUAUUUUAGGAAACUUUCUCGGGAAUCGUAAAUUUUAAGGAUACGGAACAUAAGUUCGGUUUAAUGGUUUAAAGUUGGACCGGAAUAUUAGAUUCCGGUUUGGGCCGAAUUGAUUUCCGGUUUAGAAUAACCAGUUUGAACCGGUUUACCCAGAUUGAGAUCCGGUUAUUAUUUUGGAACCGGUUUGAUAAUCGGUUUAACCGAUGAAUCGAAUUGAUAUUCGGGUUUAGGAGUUAACCGAGAAUGAUUUCCGGUUUAGGGGAUACACGAAAAUUGCGGUUUUGGAUUUGAUUUGAUUUAGGUUUUAAGAUUUCGGCCAUGGCUUAGUGUUUUCGAUUUUGAGUGUUAGGUUUAAGUAAUACAAGGUUUUUGAUCUUUAAGCUUUUAAGGUUUUGUUUUUACCUUUCACCAAUUGGGGUUGAACGGAUUGAACCGGGAGCUUAAGACCUCGGUAACUCACGCUGUCGAUGAACAGUACCGAUAAACAGUGUCGAUGAACAGUAUCGAUGAACAGUGUCGGCGUGAACAGUAUCGGCGAACAGUGUUGAUGAACAGUAUCGGUGAACAGUGUCGAUAAACAGUAUCGAUGAACAGUGUCGGCGUGGACAGUAUCGAUGAACAGUGUCGGCAUGAACAGUGUUUUGCGAUUUUUAGGGUUAGGGUUGUUAAGAGCAAAUUCGUGCUGAUAACGUGUUGUGAAACUUAUUGUUGUCUCAUUCCAUUCCAUGAAUAAUGAUACAUAUAUAUAGGCAUAUAAACCUAGGGUUUUAGAGUACAUAAUGAAUAACCCUGAUAGGCUUAUUGGGCCCGGUUAUAAGUCCAAUAUGAUGUAUUAUAACAAAAACAUGAAAAAAAGAGUAGGGAAGAAAAUAUUUGAAACAUGUACAUAUACAAAAACUUGAGGUCGUGGAGAAAAGAAAUGUGAAUACAACUGGAAAUAAUCUAUAUAUACAUUUUUGGAGACAUUUAUGAAAUAAAUUCUGGAGUUCUAACUUAUUUACGAUCAAAUGCCUCGAAUUAUAUAUCUAUUAAAUAAAAUAUUAUUAAAAAUAACAAAAUGAUGUUUAAUUUCACGGGAAGGGGGUUAUAUAGUGGGACAGGUUUGGAUCGAUAUUAAUAUGGUACGGUAUUAAUAUCACGGAUGAAAUCUUAAAAUUAACAAUCAAAAUACAAUUAUACAAUCUUAAACACUUAACAAAAUAAAUAAUAUUAAAAAAUAAAAUUUAAAAUUUAAUUUUUUUGUAAAAAAAUCGACCCGCGGGGUAAAAUUUAGUAUAUUAAGAAAGUUAAAACUUUUUGCAAAUAUCAAAUUUUGGAUGAAACAAAAUAUGAAGAACAAGUAAAUAGAUGGAAUAGAUUAUUAGGAUAAUUAAAAUGAAUAAGAAAUUAAAAUAUAUAAAAGAAAACGCAAGAGAAAUUGACAAUUGAAUUGAACAUCUAGUAUAUAUAUAUAUAUAUGUGUGUGUGUAAUCUGAAUAUAUAUUUAUUUACAACAUAAAAUGAAAAAAAAAAUCGGCAAGUAUUAUGGGUUCUCUCCUAAUUACUAUGUAAAAGCUUGUGUAAAACAUAAUUAAACUGCUGUAAAAAAAGAAAACAUAAUUAAACUAUUCAAAUUAAACGACUUAAAUUAUAUAAUCUUAAGUUCUUAACAUGUCUGCCGGUAAUGUAAAAGAUAAUAAAUACUAAAAGCUAAUGUAUAUUUUUUUUGUCAAUUCAAAGCUUAGAUUAAUAACAAUAUCACGGAUAAAUGACACUUACACGUAAAUCUAAACAAAUGAGGAAAAUAAACUAAUUCGUACACGUUAACCUUAACCGAUGCAGCAUAGGUAUUUGAUAAUCUCUUUUUUUUUUUCUUUUUUUUUUAAAUAGACGAUGUUGAGAUGUUUAAAAUUGUCAUUAUUUAUAACCAAGUUGUCUCUAUCUGACAUAUAGUAGUAGGUACAUUGACCUAAAAGUCUCUAGGGCUAAUGGUUAAUUAGAAGUGAAUACAAGUUGGUAAUAUUAUAUAGAUAUAAAACAAAAAAUUAAACAUCACACUACAUUUUUUUAUAAAUCACACAAAUUUGAUACAGUAUUUUAGAGUAAUUAUUAGAAAUGCCCACUUUUAGAUACCUCAUUUCAAAAUUGUCCCAUAUUUGGUCAUUUUCAUUUUUGUUCUCUUUUAAAUUUUAGUGACCAUUUUAACCUUAUUUGAUAAUAUUUAACCAUCAACAAAAUGAAAAAGUGAAUUUUCCGGACAAAAGUUUUUAUGCCAAAAAAUUAUUUUGGGAGCAAAAAUGAUCCCGUAAUUUUUGGCAAGAAACGUGAUCCCAUAAUUUUAGAAGAGUUUUAAAUGGUUUUCAAAAGGAGUUGCAAGGGUUUUUAAAUAGAAUUACAAGUGUUUGAAAAGAUUUUACAAUUGUUUUUGAAGGAUUUUAUAAGAGUUUUCAAGGAUGUACAAGAGGUUUUAAAGGAUUUACAAGAAUUUUAAAAGGUUUUAAAAGGAUUUGCAAAAAAUUUAAAGAGAUUUUAAAAGGUUUUUUUUAAAGGAUUUACAAUGAUUUUAAAAAGAUUUUUAAGGGUUUUUAGAAGAUUUACAAGGAGUUUUUAAGGAAUUGUGGAUAAUUUUUGUUGGAAAAAUUUCACGGAAAAAAUUUUGGCGGGAUAAUGUUGCACAUUGCGGAAAAUUGUUGUCGAAAAAAUUCAAUUUCUCAUUAUCUGCUUUCACUAAAAGAAUGGUAAUUUAGUCAUUUUGUACAUAGAGAAAAAAUACUUUUGAAAAUGGACAAUAAAAAGAAGUAUUUUUCGAAGGGUAUAGAAAGAGGCAUUCUUGCAAAUAUCCUAAAAUUAAGAGAAUUUAACUAAAAAUAAUAAUUAAACGAUUCAAAUUCAAAAUUCUCGAUCACCAUUUUCUUUUCAUCUUAACAAAAUUGUUUCAUCCGUUUACGGCUGAGGAAGUGGUAGGUGCUGUUAAGAGUAUGGGAAAAUUUAAAGCUCCUGGUCAUGACGGGUAUCAACCAGUGUUUUAUCAACAAUGUUGGGAAGUGGUUGGUGAUUCCGUGACACGGUUUGUGCUUGAUUUCUUUACAACAGGAGUUCUUCCGCAAUCCACUAAUGAUGCUUUGAUAAUUGAUAGCCAAAGUUGCAAAGCCUGAACGCAUUACUCAGUUUAGACCUAUAAGUCUAUGUAAUGUGAUGUUUAAGAUCAUUACAAAAAUGAUGUUAAAUAGGCUGAAGUGUGUGAUCUCCAAAUUGAUUGGUCCGGCACAAUCAAGUUUUAUCCUAGGGAGAUUAAGUAUUGACAAUAUUGUAAUUGUGCAGGAAGCGGUACAUUCCAUGAGACGGAAGAAGGGACGUAUAGGUUGGAUGUUGUUGAAGCUAGAUCUAGAGAAAGCUUACGACCGUAUUUGAUGGGAUUUUUUGGAAGACACGUUAGAGGCUGCGGGACUGUCCCAGGAGUGGAUACACAGGAUUAUGGCGGGUGUUAGGGACCCAUCUAUGAGUGUUCUGUGGAAUGGUGAGAAGACGGACCCGUUCACACCAGCCCGUGGGCUUAGGCAGGGGGAUCCAGGCCUUGUUCUAAAAAUCGGCCGCCUAGCCGAUUACUCGUCCGCCUAGGCGCUCAUCGGAGCACCUCCGCCGCGAUUUCAUCCUAAUCACUCAAAAAAUCGGAAAUUUCUAGAAAAACUCAUUUUUGAUGAAAGUGAAGCUCUAAAUUGGUUUUUAGGUUGUAGAUCUAUCAUGUUUGGGUGAAAAACACUAGAAAAGAGAAGAAAAAACGAUAGUAAUCGUGUGAGAAAAAAAAACGGCAAAAUUAGGGUUACAGUCGUCUACAUUCUGAGGAAGAAGACGAGGGCAGUUAUGUCAUUUCCUAUUUCAUUAAAGCGAAAAAAUAAAAAAAAAGAACAAAACACAGUGUAUGAGAUUCGAACCCACGUUGC
RNAcentral lists this long non-coding RNA (34470 nucleotides) under Arabidopsis lyrata. Its description in RNAcentral is "long non-coding RNA (ALYR_LNC001032)". Lineage: Eukaryota; Viridiplantae; Streptophyta; Magnoliopsida; Brassicales; Brassicaceae. The record is from RNAcentral.